Molecule: unclassified non-coding RNA, 328 nt
Filed under: soil metagenome
Description: partial contains 5.8S ribosomal RNA, internal transcribed spacer 2, and large subunit ribosomal RNA
Rfam family: 5.8S ribosomal RNA (bases 1-120)
Source: RNAcentral
GAUCAAGAACGCAGCGAAAUGCGAUAAGUAAUGUGAAUUGCAGAAUUCAGUGAAUCAUCGAAUCUUUGAACGCACAUUGCGCCCCUUGGUAUUCCGAGGGGCAUGCCUGUUCGAGCGUCAUUAUAACCCUCAAGCUCAGCUUGGUGUUGGGGCCUGCUGCACUGGCAGCCCUUAAAAUCAGUGGCGGCGCCAUCUGGCUCUAAGCGUAGUAAUUCUUCUCGCUAUGGAGUCCUGGUGGAUGCUUGCCAUCAACCCCCAAUUUUUCUAUGGUUGACCUCGGAUCAGGUAGGGAUACCCGCUGAACUUAAGCAUAUCAAUAAGCGGAGGA